AGGAAGACGAUGUUGUCCCCUUCGCUAAGCAAAGUCCCCUUGAUGUCCACACUGUACAGCCAGUAGAGCCCGUGGAUCCCGUGCCUCGCGACCGAGUUGUCCCUCCCGAUCAAUCCGGUCGAGAACACCGCGUUCGACUUCGGAUGUACCUGUAACUCGGAAAGCGUGGCAGACGCGAGCGCUAUCCGGAGCUUGUAAACACCGUUCUUGUCCACGUUCGCGAGGGCGAACUUGAUCUGCCAUGUUGUGCCCUGAUAUGUUUUAUCAACCUUCUUCCUGGAAAAGUUGAAAGAUUGAUUGAGAACGUGCAAGCUGCAGAAUUGUUUUGAAAGUGCAAUCCCUUCUUUUACACUCCAUAACAUGAUGUCCUUAAUGAGCUCUAGAAGGAGUCUAGUGACUUGUUAUUACAUUUACUAUAACAUGUAUGUCUGAUGAAUGCACAAAUUUAUUAGAAGAGGAUGUGUUACCUA
Long non-coding RNA from Syzygium oleosum, 470 nucleotides. RefSeq lists it as uncharacterized. The transcript has 2 exons. The record is from RefSeq and is a predicted model, not a curated record. Lineage: Eukaryota; Viridiplantae; Streptophyta; Magnoliopsida; Myrtales; Myrtaceae.